UCUGUGCCUCUGUUGCCUUCUCAAGUCUCCUGAGUGACAUUCUGGGCUUAGGGCUUGGAGCCAUGUGGGUCAUCUAUCCAGGAGAGGUAGGCACUCGGGUGACUUGAAAAAGAAUCUUCCCUUGCAAGGUCCAUGUCCCUGCAACCACUGCCCCCUCACCUUCCCCAGCCCACUUUUUCUAUGACCUUGGGAGAGUGUACUUCCGGGCGACAGUGAUGCCAAAAUAAAUACCACGCCGGUGCUGGCACUGAACCCUGGAAAAACACUUGCCAAAGAGCAAAGUAUAAUAAUGCCCCCAGGCAGGGAAAGGUGGAUCAAUGGAUUUGGGGACAGAUGAAGGAUAGAGGGAGAAUGGGAGCUGAAGGACGAUUCUUUUGGCAAGGUAGCCUGAGCCUUGUGUGGGCUACUGAGGAUGGUUCCCUCUGGGGUUUAAGGAUGAGCGUACAACUCUCAGAUUUCUGGGGGAACAUUUGGAAACUUCCACUACAUGUUCCUGCUGUGGCCCUAUUUCUCUAUCUGCAGGAGGGAAUGGCUUGGUUUCUUGGAGACACCUCCCUCCUUAGAUGAGAAGGGACCCAGUGAGUGAGGGAGGUCAUGAAAUCAUUCUCCCUGGCUGGGGUGGAGGGUUGAAAUGGAGUCCCGGGUAGUGUCCUCUUCUCUUAGGGUUGACAAGGGACAUCUAGCAAUGACCAGUGAACACCUAUGCCUGUAAGAUGUCUCUGUGUCUGUGCACACCUGUGCCUGUCUCUGUGAUCCACAACUGUAACUUUGAGUGUGGUACAUUCAGCAAGCCUCACCCAGCUUUGGGAGAGACAGACACUUGGAAGAAUAUAAACAACUCCACUACAUUCUACUGGGAAACCUGAGGGAGGUUAGCUCCUGCAAGUGUUUUCUGUCUAGUUCCUCAUACCUGUCUCUCCCUGUGAGCCACAGCUUAGCUCAAGGGGCAGACUUGCUCACACUCACCUGUCUUUUCACCUUUUUCUUUCCCUUU
Molecule: long non-coding RNA, 994 nt
Filed under: Homo sapiens (human)
Lineage: Eukaryota; Metazoa; Chordata; Mammalia; Primates; Hominidae
Description: long non-coding RNA NONHSAT162242.1
Source: RNAcentral